Molecule: ribosomal RNA, 497 nt
Filed under: uncultured bacterium
Lineage: Bacteria
Description: partial 16S ribosomal RNA
Rfam family: Bacterial small subunit ribosomal RNA
Source: RNAcentral
GACGAACGCUGGCGGCGUGCCUAAUACAUGCAAGUUGAGCGCUGAAGGUUGGUACUUGUACCAACUGGAUGAGCAGCGAACGGGUGAGUAACGCGUGGGGAAUCUGCCUUUGAGCGGGGGACAACAUUUGGAAACGAAUGCUAAUACCGCAUAAAAACUUUAAACACAAGUUUUAAGUUUGAAAGAUGCAAUUGCAUCACUCAAAGAUGAUCCCGCGUUGUAUUAGCUAGUUGGUGAGGUAAAGGCUCACCAAGGCGAUGAUACAUAGCCGACCUGAGAGGGUGAUCGGCCACAUUGGGACUGAGACACGGCCCAUACUCCUACGGGAGGCAGCAGUAGGGAAUCUUCGGCAAUGGACGAAAGUCUGACCGAGCAACGCCGCGUGAGUGAAGAAGGGUUUCGGAUCGUAAAACUCUGUUGGUAGAGAAGAACGUUGGUGAGAGUGGAAAGCUCAUCAAGUGGCGGUAACUACCCAGAAAGGGACGGCUAACUACGUG